AUACGGAAGGUCCGGGCGUUAUCCGGAUUUAUUGGGUUUAAAGGGAGCGCAGGCGGAGAUGCAAGCGUGACGUCAAAUUUCGGGGCUCAACCCCGUCUCGCGUCGCGAACUGCGUCCCUUGGUUGCGGGAAGGGGAGGCGGAACUCGUGGUGUAGCGGUGAAAUGCAUAGAUAUCACGAAGAACUCCGAUCGCGAAGGCAGCCUUCCGGCCCGUCAACGACGCUCAUGCUCGAAGGUGCGGGUAUCAAACAGGAUUAGAUACCCUGGUAGUCCGCACAGUAAACGAUGGACACCCGCGGUUUGGCCUAUAUGGCUGAGCCGCCAAGCGAAAGCGUUAAGUGUCCCACCUGGGGAGUACGCCGGCAACGGUGAAACUUAAAGGAAUUGACGGGG
Molecule: ribosomal RNA, 393 nt
Filed under: uncultured bacterium
Lineage: Bacteria
Description: partial 16S ribosomal RNA
Rfam family: Bacterial small subunit ribosomal RNA
Source: RNAcentral